Molecule: ribosomal RNA, 860 nt
Filed under: Chloroflexi bacterium enrichment culture
Lineage: Bacteria; Bacillati; Chloroflexota
Description: bacterial SSU rRNA
Rfam family: Bacterial small subunit ribosomal RNA
Source: RNAcentral
GAUGAACGCUGGCGGCGUGCCUAAUACAUGCAAGUCGAACGGAGAAUGUAGCAAUACGUUCUUAGUGGCGAACGGGUGAGUAACGCGUGGGCGACCUGCCCCGAAGAGCGGGAUAACAAUUCGAAAGGAUUGCUAAUACCGCAUGUGGUCUCUGAGAUUAGAUGCUCGGCGACUAAAGGGAGUAAUCCGCUUUGGGAGGGGCCUGCGUCCCAUCAGCUAGUUGGAAAGGUAACGGCUUACCAAGGCUAUGACGGGUAGGGGACCUGAGAGGGUGGCCCCCCACAAUGGAACUGAAACACGGUCCAUACACCUACGGGUGGCAGCAGUAGGGAAUAUUGCUUAAUGGGCGAAAGCCUGAAGCAGCAACGCCGCGUGUGCGAUGAAGGCCUUCGGGUUGUAAAGCACUUUUUGAGGGGAUGAGGAAGGACAGUACCCUCAGAAUAAGCCUCGGCUAACUACGUGCCAGCAGCCGCGGUAACACGUAGGAGGCAAGCGUUAUCCGGAUUUACUGGGCGUAAAGCGCGUGCAGGCGGUUUGGAAAGUUGGAUGUGAAAGCUCCUGGCUUAACUGGGAGAGGUCGUUCAAUACUUCUAGACUCGAGUAUGGGAGAGGGAGGUGGAAUUCCGGGUGUAGUGGUGAAAUGCGUAGAUAUCCGGAGGAACACCAGUGGCGAAAGCGGCCUCCUGGCCCAUUACUGACGCUCAGACGCGAAAGCUAGGGUAGCAAACGGGAUUAGAGACCCCGGUAGUCCUAGCUGUAAACGAUGUGAACUUGGCGUUGGUGGGUUCAAAUCCAUCAGUGCCGGAGCUAACGCGUUAAGUUCACCGCCUGGGGACUACGGCCGCAAGGUUAAAACUCAA